Molecule: ribosomal RNA, 497 nt
Filed under: uncultured bacterium
Lineage: Bacteria
Description: partial 16S ribosomal RNA
Rfam family: Bacterial small subunit ribosomal RNA
Source: RNAcentral
GAUGAACGCUGGCGGCGUGCCUAAUACAUGCAAGUCGAGCGAACGGACGAGAAGCUUGCUUCUCUGAUGUUAGCGGCGGACGUGUGAGUAACACGUGGAUAACCUACCUAUAAGACUGGUAUAACUUCGGGAAACCGGAUCUAAUACCGGAUAAUAUUUUGAACCGCAUGGUUCAAAAGUGAAAGACGGUCUUGCUGUCACUUAUCGAUGCAUCCGCGCUUCAUUAGCUAGUUGGUAAGGUAACGGCUUACCAAGGCAACGAUGCAUAGCCGACCUGAGAGGGUGAUCGGCCACAAUGGAACGGGAACACGGACCAGAAGCCUAAGGGAGGAAGCAGGAGGGAAUGUUACGCAAUGGGGGAAAGCCUGACGGAGCAACGGCGAGUGAGUGAUGAAGGGAUUCGGAUCGUAAAAAUCUGUUAUUAGGGAAGAACAUAUGUGUAAGUAACUGUGCACAUCUUGACGGUACCUAAUCAGAAAGCCACGGCUAACUACGUG